RNAcentral lists this microRNA precursor (97 nucleotides) under Pristionchus pacificus. RNAcentral's name for it is "microRNA ppc-mir-2241b precursor (ppc-mir-2241b-3)". It matches the Rfam family "mir-2241 microRNA precursor family". Lineage: Eukaryota; Metazoa; Nematoda; Chromadorea; Rhabditida; Neodiplogasteridae. The record is from miRBase by way of RNAcentral.
GCUCUUUUCGAUACGCCUCUGAUCUUCAGGAUCCCUGUCUGAACACAGAAAUUGAGUGUUCGCAAGGUUUCCUCAAGAUCAGGGCUUCGAGUCAGCU